This 253-nucleotide ribosomal RNA is filed under the name uncultured bacterium. Its description in RNAcentral is "partial 16S ribosomal RNA". It matches the Rfam family "Bacterial small subunit ribosomal RNA", at positions 524 to 776 of the family's 1533-position model. The record is from RNAcentral.
UACGUAGGGGGCGAGCGUUGUCCGGAAUCAUUGGGCGUAAAGCGCGUGUAGGCGGUCCGGUAAGUCCGCUGUGAAAGUCGGGGGCUCAACCCUCGGAUGCCGGUGGAUACUGUCGGGCUCGAGUACGGAAGAGGCGAGUGGAAUUCCUGGUGUAGCGGUGAAAUGCGCAGAUAUCGGGAAGAACACCCGUGGCUAAGGCGGAUCUCUGGGCCUGUUCUGACGCUGAGGCGCGAAAGCUAGGGGAGCGAACAGG